GUAAAUGCAGUCGACGGUGAAGCCAAGCUUGCUUGGUGGAUCAGUGGCGAACGGGUGAGUAACACGUGAGCAACCUGCCCUGGACUCUGGGAUAAGCGCUGGAAACGGUGUCUAAUACUGGAUAUGAGACGUGAUCGCAUGGUCGUGUUUGGAAAGAUUUUUCGGUCUGGGAUGGGCUCGCGGCCUAUCAGCUUGUUGGUGAGGUAAUGGCUCACCAAGGCGUCGACGGGUAGCCGGCCUGAGAGGGUGACCGGCCACACUGGGACUGAGACACGGCCCAGACUCCUACGGGAGGCAGCAGUGGGGAAUAUUGCACAAUGGGCGGAAGCCUGAUGCAGCAACGCCGCGUGAGGGAUGACGGCCUUCGGGUUGUAAACCUCUUUUAGCAGGGAAGAAGCGAAAGUGACGGUACCUGCAGAAAAAGCGCCGGCUAACUACGUGCCAGCAGCCGCGGUAAUACGUAGGGCGCAAGCGUUAUCCGGAAUUAUUGGGCGUAAAGAGCUCGUAGGCGGUUUGUCGCGUCUGCUGUGAAAUCCCGAGGCUCAACCUCGGGCCUGCAGUGGGUACGGGCAGACUAGAGUGCGGUAGGGGAGAUUGGAAUUCCUGGUGUAGCGGUGGAAUGCGCAGAUAUCAGGAGGAACACCGAUGGCGAAGGCAGAUCUCUGGGCCGUAACUGACGCUGAGGAGCGAAAGGGUGGGGAGCAAACAGGCUUAGAUACCCUGGUAGUCCACCCCGUAAACGUUGGGAACUAGUUGUGGGGACCAUUCCACGGUUUCCGUGACGCAGCUAACGCAUUAAGUUCCCCGCCUGGGGAGUACGGCCGCAAGGCUAAAACUCAAGGAAUUGACGGGGACCCGCACAAGCGGCGGAGCAUGCGGAUUAAUUCGAUGCAACGCGAAGAACCUUACCAAGGCUUGACAUAUACGAGAACGGGCCAGAAAUGGUCAACUCUUUGGACACUCGUAAACAGGUGGUGCAUGGUUGUCGUCAGCUCGUGUCGUGAGAUGUUGGGUUAAGUCCCGCAACGAGCGCAACCCUCGUUCUAUGUUGCCAGCACGUAAUGGUGGGAACUCAUGGGAUACUGCCGGGGUCAACUCGGAGGAAGGUGGGGAUGACGUCAAAUCAUCAUGCCCCUUAUGUCUUGGGCUUCACGCAUGCUACAAUGGCCGGUACAAAGGGCUGCAAUACCGUAAGGUGGAGCGAAUCCCAAAAAGCCGGUCCCAGUUCGGAUUGAGGUCUGCAACUCGACCUCAUGAAGUCGGAGUCGCUAGUAAUCGCAGAUCAGCAACGCUGCGGUGAAUACGUUCCCGGGUCUUGUACACACCGCCCGUCAAGUCAUGAAAGUCGGUAACACCUGAAGCCGGUGGCCCAACCCUUGUGGAGGAGCCUCGAAGAUGAUCGAC
Molecule: ribosomal RNA, 1404 nt
Filed under: Microbacterium testaceum
Lineage: Bacteria; Bacillati; Actinomycetota; Actinomycetes; Micrococcales; Microbacteriaceae
Description: bacterial SSU rRNA
Rfam family: Bacterial small subunit ribosomal RNA
Source: RNAcentral